Non-coding RNA from Bombyx mori (domestic silkworm), 111 nucleotides. NCBI's taxonomy places the organism in Eukaryota, Metazoa, Arthropoda, Insecta, Lepidoptera, Bombycidae. The record is from RefSeq and is marked provisional.
CUUAAUACUCGAACAUGCGACUUUAACUCGAACAGAAUUUAUGCGUGUGUGUGUCACAUAAUUAUACUCUUCUGUUCAUUGUUAAAGUCUGUAGUCUAAUUGAGAAUUGAU